This 74-nucleotide transfer RNA is filed under the name Polyangiaceae bacterium. RNAcentral describes it as "tRNA-Leu". It matches the Rfam family "tRNA". From Rfam's summary of the family: Transfer RNA (tRNA) molecules are approximately 80 nucleotides in length. Their secondary structure includes four short double-helical elements and three loops (D, anti-codon, and T loops). Further hydrogen bonds mediate the characteristic L-shaped molecular structure. tRNAs have two regions of fundamental functional importance: the anti-codon, which is responsible for specific mRNA codon recognition, and the 3' end, to which the tRNAs corresponding amino acid is attached (by aminoacyl-tRNA synthetases). tRNAs cope with the degeneracy of the genetic code in two manners: having more than one tRNA (with a specific anti-codon) for a particular amino acid; and 'wobble' base-pairing, i.e. permitting non-standard base-pairing at the 3rd anti-codon position. Lineage: Bacteria; Pseudomonadati; Myxococcota; Polyangiales; Polyangiaceae. The record is from RNAcentral.
GUCCGCAUGGCGAAAUUGGCAAACGCGGUCGGCUUAGACCCGACAAUCUGUAGGUUCGAAUCCUUCUGUGGACA